GACGAACGCUGGCGGCGUGCUUAACACAUGCAAGUCGAACGGAAAGGCCCUGCUUGCAGGGUACUCGAGUGGCGAACGGGUGAGUAACACGUGGGUGAUCUGCCCUGCACUUCGGGAUAAGCCUGGGAAACUGGGUCUAAUACCGGAUAGGAGCCAUUUUUAGUGUGAUGGUUGGAAAGUUUUUUCGGUGUAGGAUGAGCUCGCGGCCUAUCAGCUUGUUGGUGGGGUAAUGGCCUACCAAGGCGGCGACGGGUAGCCGGCCUGAGAGGGUGGACGGCCACAGUGGGACGGAGUUAAGGCCCAGACUCCUACUGGAGGCAGCAGUGUGGAAGAGUGCACAAUGGGCGCAAGCCUGAUGCAGCGACGGCGCGGGGGGGAUGACGGCCUUCGGGUUGUAAACUCCUUUCGCUAGGGACGAAGCUUUUGUGACGGUUACUAGAUAAGAAGCACCGGCUAACUACGUG
Molecule: ribosomal RNA, 464 nt
Filed under: uncultured bacterium
Lineage: Bacteria
Description: partial 16S ribosomal RNA
Rfam family: Bacterial small subunit ribosomal RNA
Source: RNAcentral